Chelonia mydas (Green sea turtle) is the source of this 172-nucleotide long non-coding RNA. RefSeq lists it as uncharacterized. The transcript has 3 exons. NCBI's taxonomy places the organism in Eukaryota, Metazoa, Chordata, Testudines, Cheloniidae. The record is from RefSeq and is a predicted model, not a curated record.
GUGUAGCCAUCUUGACAUGCAGCACUCAUUGCACAGCACUCCAGACAGGAAGGCUCAGUACGAUAACGGGACAUACGCAAACCUGUGGUUGUACCGUUCCCCACCUCACCCCCUUGCCCUUUCUGUUUCCCAAGCAGUUGUGUUUCUUUUCAAUAAAUGGAUUUUUUGGCUU